CCUACGGGAGGCAGCAGUGGGGAAUAUUGCUCAAUGGGGGAAACCCUGAUGCAGCGACGCCGCGUGAGGGAAGAAGGAAUUAGUUAUGGAAAGCUGUAUCAGUAGGGAAGAAAAUGACGGUACCUGAGUAAGAAGCCCCGGCUAACUACGUGCCAGCAGCCGCGGUAAUACGUAGGGGGCAAGCGUUAUCCGGAUUUACUGGGUGUAAAGGGAGCGUAGACGGCAGUGCAAGUCUGGAGUGAAAGGCGGGGGCUCAACCCCCGGACUGCGCUGGAAACUGGACGGCUGGAGUGCAGGAGAGGUAAGUGGAAUUCCUAGUGUAGCGGUGAAAUGCUUAGAUAUUAGGAGGAACACCAGUGGCGAAGGCGGCUUACUGUACUGUUACUGACGUUGAGGCUCGAAGGCGUGGGGAGCGAACAGGAUUAGAUACCCUAGUAGUC
This 440-nucleotide ribosomal RNA is filed under the name uncultured bacterium. Its description in RNAcentral is "partial 16S ribosomal RNA". It matches the Rfam family "Bacterial small subunit ribosomal RNA", at positions 338 to 795 of the family's 1533-position model. The record is from RNAcentral.